GUUGCCCAAGGGUGGGAUUGGAUCUGGGUUCCUGGCACUGUGAGGCAGCAGUGCUAACCACUGAGCCACUGUGCCGCCCCUCUGUAAUGUAGGAUUUCGGGUUCAGAAGUCACAGAUUACCCAGAAUUUUUUUUUAUUCAUCACAGGCUGUGGGUGUCACUGGCUGGACCAUAAUUUAUUGCUCAUCCCUGAUUUCCCAGAAGGCAGUUACCAGUCAACUGUUGUGGAUUUAGGAUUACAUGUAGGCCAGACCAGUUUCAGGAGGCCUUGGACAGGAUUAGUGAUGGGACAAGAACAUGGCAGAUGGAAUAUACUGUGGAAAAUUGUGAGCUUAUCCAAUUUGGUAAAAGAAACAGAUGUGCAGAGAAUUUUUUAAAUGAUUUUUGCCGAUUCACUCAGUCCUGUCUGUAUCUGUCUGCAACCUCCUUAAUUCUUCAUGUAUGGAACGAGCUGCCAGAGGAAACGGUUUAGGUGGGUACAAUAACAUUUAAAAUAUAUGGGUAUAUGGAU
This is a long non-coding RNA of Rhincodon typus (whale shark), 510 nucleotides long. RefSeq lists it as uncharacterized. The transcript has 3 exons. The record is from RefSeq and is a predicted model, not a curated record. NCBI's taxonomy places the organism in Eukaryota, Metazoa, Chordata, Chondrichthyes, Orectolobiformes, Rhincodontidae.